AUAUUCUGGGGCAGUGUCCCCAGGAGGGCCUGACAGGUGCCUUUCCCCCCAAGUGCCUGUAUCCCCUUUGGUGAGUGAAGUCAGCAGGGAUGCUGUCACCAUGGCUACAUGCUCGGGAGCCCACAUCCUGUUUCAGGACUAUAUUUAAUUCCACUGUGCUCCAUUCAUCACUUCUUCCAGCAAGAUCAUAACAUUUUGACAUCAUCAGGGGCCUGGAGAUGCGAGCGUAUCGAUGCACCACUGAAAUGUCAGGAGCCGCCUGGAGGCCCAAGGCUGUUGGGAACCCGCAGGCACCACCAAGCCCACCUGUCUCCUAAUUGGAGCUCACUGCAG
This 333-nucleotide long non-coding RNA is filed under the name Rhinopithecus bieti (black snub-nosed monkey). Its description in RNAcentral is "lncRNA (ENSRBIG00000045088.1)". The record is from RNAcentral. Lineage: Eukaryota; Metazoa; Chordata; Mammalia; Primates; Cercopithecidae.